This 77-nucleotide non-coding RNA is filed under the name human gut metagenome. RNAcentral describes it as "Glycine riboswitch". It matches the Rfam family "Glycine riboswitch aptamer", at positions 9 to 86 of the family's 94-position model. Rfam says of the family: This family represents the bacterial glycine riboswitch. The record is from RNAcentral.
AGACUCUGGAGAAUCUCUUAAAUGAGUGCCGAAGGUGCAAGGCGAAAGCCGAAACUCUCAGGCAAGCGGACAGAGCG